GACGAACGCUGGCGGCGUGCUUAACACAUGCAAGUCGAACGGACUAUUUAAUUUCGGUGAGAUGGUUAGUGGCGAACGGGUGAGUAAUGCGUCGGAACGUGCCGAGUAGUGGGGGAUAACGCAGCGAAAGUUGUGCUAAUACCGCAUACGUACUGAGGUAGAAAGUGGGGGACCUUCGGGCCUCACGCUAUUCGAGCGGCCGACGUCUGAUUAGCUAGUAGGUGAGGUAAAGGCUCACCUAGGCGACGAUCAGUAGCGGGUCUGAGAGGAUGCUCCGCCACACUGGGACUGAGACACGGCCCAGACUCCUACGGGAGGCAGCAGUGGGGAAUUUUGGACAAUGGGCGAAAGCCUGAUCCAGCCAUGCCGCGUGUCUGAAGAAGGCCUUCGGGUUGUAAAGGACUUUUGUCAGGGAGGAAAUCCCUAGUGCUAAUAACACUGGGGGAUGACAGUACCUGAAGAAUAAGCACCGGCUAACUACGUGCCAGCAGCCGCAGUAA
RNAcentral lists this ribosomal RNA (500 nucleotides) under uncultured bacterium. RNAcentral describes it as "partial 16S ribosomal RNA". It matches the Rfam family "Bacterial small subunit ribosomal RNA", at positions 28 to 523 of the family's 1533-position model. The record is from RNAcentral.